UGGGGAAUAUUGGACAAUGGGCGCAAGCCUGAUCCAGCCAUGCCUCGUGAGUGAUGAAGGCCCUACGGUUGUAAAGCUCUUUCACCGGUGUAGAUAAUGACGGUAACCGGAUAAGAAGCCCCGGCUAACUUCGUGCCAGCAUCCGCGGUAAUACGAAGGGGGCUAGCGUUGUUCGGAUUUACUGGGCGUAAAGCGCACGUAGUCGGACUUUUAAGUCAGGGGUGAAAUCCCGGGGCUCAACCCCGGAACUGCCUUUGAUACUGGAAGUCUUGAGUAUGGUAGAGGUGAGUGGAAUUCCGAGUGUAGAGGUGAAAUUCGUAGAUAUUCGGAGGAACAACAGUGGCGAAGGCGGCUCACUGGACCAUUACUGACGCUGAGGUGCGAAAGCGUGGGGAGCAAACAGG
This 404-nucleotide ribosomal RNA is filed under the name Actinomycetes bacterium. RNAcentral describes it as "Actinobacteria bacterium partial 16S ribosomal RNA". It matches the Rfam family "Bacterial small subunit ribosomal RNA", at positions 355 to 776 of the family's 1533-position model. Lineage: Bacteria; Bacillati; Actinomycetota; Actinomycetes. The record is from RNAcentral.